RNAcentral lists this ribosomal RNA (28 nucleotides) under Necator americanus (New World hookworm). RNAcentral describes it as "partial 28S ribosomal RNA". RNAcentral also lists the same sequence under 1 other name. The record is from RNAcentral. Lineage: Eukaryota; Metazoa; Nematoda; Chromadorea; Rhabditida; Ancylostomatidae.
UGCAACCUGAGCUCAGGCGUGAUUACCC